Molecule: non-coding RNA, 148 nt
Filed under: Homo sapiens (human)
Lineage: Eukaryota; Metazoa; Chordata; Mammalia; Primates; Hominidae
Source: Rfam by way of RNAcentral
GCCGGGCGUGGUGGCAUGCACCUGUAGUCCCAGCUACUCGGGAGGCUGAGGUGGGAGGAUCGCUUGAGCCCAGGAGGUCGAGGUUGCAGUGAGCUGAGAUCACGCCACUGCACUCCAGCCUGGGCAACAGAGCAACACCUCAUCUCAA